CAGUCGCCGCGGGAAUACAGAGGGUGCGAGCGUUAAUCGGAUUUACUGGGCGUAAAGCGUGCGUAGGCGGCUUCUUAAGUCGGAUGUGAAAUCCCUGAGCUUAACUUGGGAAUUGCAUUCGAUACUGGGAAGCUAGAGUAUGGGAGAGGAUGGUAGAAUUCCAGGUGUAGCGGUGAAAUGCGUAGAGAUCUGGAGGAAUACCGAUGGCGAAGGCAGCCAUCUGGCCUAAUACUGACGCUGAGGUACGAAAGCAUGGGGAGCAAACAGGAUUAGAUACCCCUGUAGUCCCUGUCUCUUAUAC
This 301-nucleotide ribosomal RNA is filed under the name uncultured bacterium. RNAcentral describes it as "partial 16S ribosomal RNA". It matches the Rfam family "Bacterial small subunit ribosomal RNA", at positions 509 to 807 of the family's 1533-position model. The record is from RNAcentral.